GGGGCUGAUUCUGGAUUCGACGGGAUUUGCGAAACCCAAGGUGCAUGCCGAGGGGCGGUUGGCCUCGUAAAAAGCCGCAAAAAAAUAGUCGCAAACGACGAAACCUACGCUUUAGCAGCUUAAUAACCUGCUUAGAGCCCUCUCUCCCUAGCCUCCGCUCUUAGGACGGGGAUCAAGAGAGGUCAAACCCAAAAGAGAUCGCGCGGAUGCCCUGCCUGGGGUUGAAGCGUUAAAACGAAUCAGGCUAGUCUGGUAGUGGCGUGUCCGUCCGCAGGUUCCAGGCGAAUGUAAAGACUGACUAAGCAUGUAGUACCGAGGAUGUAGGAAUUUCGGACGCGGGUUCAACUCCCGCCAGCUCCACCA
RNAcentral lists this transfer-messenger RNA (363 nucleotides) under Salmonella enterica. RNAcentral describes it as "Standard tmRNA". It matches the Rfam family "transfer-messenger RNA". From Rfam's summary of the family: Bacterial tmRNA, also known as 10Sa RNA or SsrA, is named for its dual tRNA and mRNA-like properties. Its role is to liberate the mRNA from a stalled ribosome. Lineage: Bacteria; Pseudomonadati; Pseudomonadota; Gammaproteobacteria; Enterobacterales; Enterobacteriaceae. The record is from RNAcentral. RNAcentral also lists the same sequence under 2 other names.